UUUGCACUGUCUGAUUUGAGCCAGUUCUCCUCCCCACCCCUCACAGUGGCAUUUUCAGGAUUCUACCGCUUGGUGGCUGUCCCCAGAAGACACUUCCCUGGGUCCUGGCAGUUAAGCAAGGCUUGUCGGGCUCCAGGGAAAGGGGUGCUGCUUUUGGCAUCCUCCUCAAGCCCAGGAGCUGACAGCAAAGGUCUUGUUCAUUCUGCUCUGCUGGAGUGAAGACUGUUGCCAAACCAGAGCGCUCGUUUUUAUUGUUUUUCUAGAACAACAGGACUGUUAUUACAAGUGUUCUGGAAGAGAGGACAGGGAAGCCAAAAACAGAUUCCACAGCAUCUUAAAAAUAGCCAGUAGCAUGUGAAUUGCUCGACUAGCAAGGCCAGGCUCUUGAUGGGUCUGACACAUCUGUGAACCACUGUUUGGCUACUGCCCGACCAUGUCGCAGCCUCCUCCGGAGAGAAAAGCCAGUACCCCUGGCUGCUCCCAGCACUGUCACCCCAAACUCGAAGCAGUGAGACCAGCACCCAGAAGGGGCAGACAGGGAGAAAAUCAGAGGGGGUGAUGGGAAAGGAGAGGCCGCGUGAUCCGCAGGAGACCUCGGAGGCAUUCGGAGACCCAGAGACGAAGGAGGGAAGAGGCGACCUCCAGGAGGACAGACCCUCCAGCCUUUGGGCGGGCGCCGCAGCAGAAAGGGGUGGACCCUCCUUUCAUCUCCCCCCUGCCCACCCCAUCUGAGACUACGCACCCCAAAGCUGCACCUCACCCAGAACACUCAUCAUAAAAACUAAUCACUGUUAGGAAAGAAAAAAUUAUAAAAAGAGGGAACAGAGAAAAGCAUCCCCCCAAAAAGCAAAGGAAAUAUCAAUAGGUAUUAAUAAUAAUUCUAGCUUUUGCUCACUGGAUAGUAAAAUAUAAAUGUUUAUUAUUUUAAGUGAACUAACCCCCAAAUAAAGACAGGAGGCUCCUCGAAGCUGUCUCCUUC
RNAcentral lists this long non-coding RNA (979 nucleotides) under Ursus maritimus (polar bear). RNAcentral describes it as "lncRNA (ENSUMAG00000003468.1)". Lineage: Eukaryota; Metazoa; Chordata; Mammalia; Carnivora; Ursidae. The record is from RNAcentral.